RNAcentral lists this ribosomal RNA (50 nucleotides) under Trametes versicolor. RNAcentral's name for it is "partial large subunit ribosomal RNA". The record is from RNAcentral. RNAcentral also lists the same sequence under 10 other names. Lineage: Eukaryota; Fungi; Basidiomycota; Agaricomycetes; Polyporales; Polyporaceae.
CUGACCUCAAAUCAGGUAGGACUACCCGCUGAACUUAAGCAUAUCAAUAA